RNAcentral lists this unclassified non-coding RNA (269 nucleotides) under uncultured fungus. RNAcentral's name for it is "sequence contains ITS2". The stretch from base 1 to 52 matches the Rfam family "5.8S ribosomal RNA", at positions 103 to 154 of the family's 154-position model. The record is from RNAcentral. Lineage: Eukaryota; Fungi.
AACGCACAUUGCGCCCGCUAGUUUUCUAGCGGGCAUGCCUGUCCGAGCGUCAUUUCUACCCUCGAGCCCACUGUAGGCUUGGUGUUGGGGUGCCUGUGGCACAGCGCCUAUGGACCCUGAAAGUCAGCGGCGAGCCCGGCCGGGACGACCGAGCGCAGUAAUCUUUCUCGCUCCGGAAGCCCCUAUACCGGCGCUCUCGGCCGUUAAAACAGCCCAACUGGAACCUAAAUUUUGACCUCGGAUCAGGUAGGACCACCCGCUGAACUUAA